ACGACGCUGGCGGCGUGCCUAAUACAUGCAAGUCGAACGGUCUUUCUAUGGAAGCUUGCUUCCACUGAGAAGAUAGUGGCGAACGGGUGAGUAACACGUGGGUAACCUGCCCAUAAGAGGGGGAUAACAUCCGGAAACGGGUGCUAAUACCGCAUAGUUUUCUUGAUCGCAUGAUCGGGAAAGGAAAGACGGCCUUUGUGCUGUCGCUUAUGGAUGGACCCGCGGCGUAUUAGUUAGUUGGUGAGGUAACGGCUCACCAAGACGAUGAUACGUAGCCGACCUGAGAGGGUGAUCGGCCACAUUGGGACUGAGACACGGCCCAAACUCCUACGGGAGGCAGCAGUAGGGAAUCUUCCGCAAUGGACGAAAGUCUGACGGAGCAACGCCGCGUGAGUGAAGAAAAGGUUUUCGGAUCGUAAAACUCUGUUGUCAGAGAAGAACAAGUUGGAGAGUAACUGCUCCAGCCUUGACGGUAUCUGACCAGAAAGCCACGGCUAACUACGUGCCAGCAGCCGC
This 516-nucleotide ribosomal RNA is filed under the name uncultured bacterium. RNAcentral describes it as "bacterial SSU rRNA". It matches the Rfam family "Bacterial small subunit ribosomal RNA", at positions 32 to 518 of the family's 1533-position model. The record is from RNAcentral.